GAUGAACGCUGGCGGCGUGCCUAAUACAUGCAAGUCGAGCGAACGGACGAGAAGCUUGCUUCUCUGAUGUUAGCGGCGGACGGGUGAGUAACACGUGGAUAACCUACCUAUAAGACUGGGAUAACUUCGGGAAACCGUAGCUAAUACCGGAUAAUAUUUUGAACCGCAUGGUUCAAAAGUGAAAGACGGUCUUGCUGUCACUUAUAGAUGGAUCCGCGCUGCAUUAGCUAGUUGGUAAGGUAACGGCUUACCAAGGCAACGAUGCAUAGCCGACCUGAGAGGGUGAUCGGCCACACUGGAACUGAGACACGGUCCUGAGUCCUACGGGAGGCAGCAGUAGGGAAUCUUCCGCAAUGGGCGGAAGCCUGACGGAGCAACGCCGCGUGAGUGAUGAAGGUCUUCGGAUCGUAAAACUCUGUUAUUAGGGAAGAACAUAUGUGUAAGUAACUGUGCACAUCUUGACGGUACCUAAUCAGAAAGCCACGGCUAACUACGUG
RNAcentral lists this ribosomal RNA (497 nucleotides) under uncultured bacterium. RNAcentral describes it as "partial 16S ribosomal RNA". It matches the Rfam family "Bacterial small subunit ribosomal RNA", at positions 28 to 507 of the family's 1533-position model. The record is from RNAcentral.